RNAcentral lists this ribosomal RNA (421 nucleotides) under Pseudomonas jessenii. RNAcentral describes it as "bacterial SSU rRNA". It matches the Rfam family "Bacterial small subunit ribosomal RNA", at positions 43 to 467 of the family's 1533-position model. Lineage: Bacteria; Pseudomonadati; Pseudomonadota; Gammaproteobacteria; Pseudomonadales; Pseudomonadaceae. The record is from RNAcentral.
CUCGCGCUACCAUGCAAGUCGAGCGGAUGAAAGGAGCUUGCUCCUGGAUUCAGCGGCGGACGGGUGAGUAAUGCCUAGGAAUCUGCCUGGUAGUGGGGGACAACGUUUUCGAAAGGAACGCUAAUACCGCAUACGUCCUACGGGAGAAAGCAGGGGACCUUCGGGCCUUGCGCUAUCAGAUGAGCCUAGGUCGGAUUAGCUAGUUGGUGAGGUAAUGGCUCACCAAGGCGACGAUCCGUAACUGGUCUGAGAGGAUGAUCAGUCACACUGGAACUGAGACACGGUCCAGACUCCUACGGGAGGCAGCAGUGGGGAAUAUUGGACAAUGGGCAAAGCCUGAUCCAGCCAUGCCGCGUGUGUGAAGAAGGUCUUCGGAUUGUAAAGCACUUUAAGUUGGGAGGAAGCGUAAAUUAAUACUUUU